CCUACGGGAGGCAGCAGUGGGGAAUAUUGGACAAUGGGCGAAAGCCUGAUCCAGCAAUGCCGCGUGAGUGAUGAAGGCCUUAGGGUCGUAAAGCUCUUUUACCCGGGAUGAUAAUGACAGUACCGGGAGAAUAAGCCCCGGCUAACUCCGUGCCAGCAGCCGCGGUAAUACGGAGGGGGCUAGCGUUGUUCGGAAUUACUGGGCGUAAAGCGUGCGUAGGCGGUUAUUCAAGUCAGAGGUGAAAGCCCGGGGCUCAACCCCGGAACGGCCUUUGGAAACUAGGUAGCUAGAAUCUUGGAGAGGUCAGUGGAAUUCCGAGUGUAGAGGUGAAAUUCGUAGAUAUUCGGAAGAACACCAGUGGCGAAGGCGACUGACUGGACAAGUAUUGACGCUGAGGCACGAAAGCGUGGGGAGCAAACAGGAUUAGAUACCCUGGUAGUCUACGCCGUAAACGAUGAUAACUAGCUGUUCGGGUACUUGGUAUCUGAGUGGCGCAGCUAACGCAUUAAGUUAUCCGCCUGGGGAGUACGGUGCAAGAUUAAAACUCAAAGGAAUUGACGGCUGAGANGCGAGACGACACGAGGAGAG
This 588-nucleotide ribosomal RNA is filed under the name uncultured bacterium. Its description in RNAcentral is "bacterial SSU rRNA". It matches the Rfam family "Bacterial small subunit ribosomal RNA", at positions 338 to 948 of the family's 1533-position model. The record is from RNAcentral.